Long non-coding RNA from Brienomyrus brachyistius, 425 nucleotides. RefSeq lists it as uncharacterized. The transcript is spliced from 3 exons. The record is from RefSeq and is a predicted model, not a curated record. NCBI's taxonomy places the organism in Eukaryota, Metazoa, Chordata, Actinopteri, Osteoglossiformes, Mormyridae.
GUACCGCUGGAUAGAGUGAGAAAGUACGUAUGUGUGAUCUUACGGUGUACUGCUGGAUAGAGUGAGAAAGUGCGUAUGUGUGAUCUUACGGUGUACCGCUGGAUAGAGUGAGAAAGUGCGUAUGUGUGAUCUUACGGUGUACCGCUGGAUAGAGUGAGAAAGUGCGUAUGUGUGAUCUUACGGUGUACCGCUGGAUAGAGUGAGAAAGUGCGUAUGUGUGAUCUUACGGUGUACCGCUGGAUAGAGUGAGAAAGUGCGUAUGUGUGAUCUUACGGUGUACCGCUGGAUAGAGUGAGAAAGUGCGUAUGCGGGAUCUUACGGUGUACCGCUGGAUAGAGUGAGAAAGUGCGUAUGCGGGAUCUUACGGUGUACCGCUGGAUAGAGUGAGAAAGUGCGUAUGCGGGAUCUUACGGUGUACCGCUGGA